UUCAAAUUGUAAAAUUACAAAUUUUUUUCAAUAAAUUGUUCAUUAAUUAUACAAGAGACUCCUUUUUAAUUAAAAAUUCAAUUCCCAUGGGAAUUGAAAAAAAAAAUAAAAAAAAAUCCCUCCACCCCGGCCGGCUCCCCAAGUACUACCUCUACUUCAAGCAGAAGCACUCUACUUAAAAGUACUUCUGCUUAAAGUAGAGAUAGCACUCGGAGAGCCAGCCGGGGUAGCGGGGCGAAGAGAAGACCAAACUUGCUAAUGCAAAUUGCCAAGUUGAUCUUCUCUUGAGAGCAGCCACGCGCAUACCUGGCAAAUACGUAAAACAACAAACGUUAGUAACAAAUAAUUAGCAUGCAAAUUUGAAUCCCAUGGCCGAAAAUGACAAGUGCCCCCCACUGAUUCCUGCCAACUGCCUACCUGCCUCAACCCUAAACUGUCUGCCUCGGUCCUAAGCUGCCUGCAUUCCAUUCGUAACUUCCGCUUUCCUCACCAUCACACAGACACUCACAACUGCCCAACCCGCCACCAACCCGAACUGCCCACCCUUAAAACUGAAGGAAUUAAAAUUUUGGUAAAGUAUACAUAAUUAAUUUAAUUAAUUCGGAUAUUUUAGGCCAA
Non-coding RNA from Paramuricea clavata, 618 nucleotides. The record is from the annotation of a GenBank genome assembly. NCBI's taxonomy places the organism in Eukaryota, Metazoa, Cnidaria, Anthozoa, Malacalcyonacea, Plexauridae.